RNAcentral lists this unclassified non-coding RNA (379 nucleotides) under uncultured Bacillaceae bacterium. RNAcentral's name for it is "contains 16S-23S intergenic spacer region". Lineage: Bacteria; Bacillati; Bacillota; Bacilli; Caryophanales; Bacillaceae. The record is from RNAcentral.
UCCGAGUUGACCCCGGCAGUCUCCUGCGAGUCCCCGCCAUUACGCGCUGGCAACACAGGACAAGGGUUGCGCUCGUUGCGGGACUUAACCCAACAUCUCACGACACGAGCUGACGACAACCAUGCACCACCUGUCACUCUGUCCCCCGAAGGGGAAAGCUCUAUCUCUAGAGUGGUCAGAGGAUGUCAAGACCUGGUAAGGUUCUUCGCGUUGCUUCGAAUUAAACCACAUGCUCCACUGCUUGUGCGGGCCCCCGUCAAUUCCUUUGAGUUUCAACCUUGCGGUCGUACUCCCCAGGCGGAGUGCUUAAUGUGUUAACUUCAGCACUGAGGGUGGAACCCCCCAACACCUAGCACUCAUCGUUUACGGCGUGGACUAC